Molecule: long non-coding RNA, 1932 nt
Organism: Oreochromis niloticus (Nile tilapia)
Lineage: Eukaryota; Metazoa; Chordata; Actinopteri; Cichliformes; Cichlidae
Source: Ensembl
UUUUACCGCGGAAAUAUACCUACUGGCCACAGAAACCCGAAAUAUAAAGAAAUUCCCAUAAUUUGUGUGGUCUAUGUAACGGAGGGAAGGUGUUUUUUUAGCACAAAUGUUAUUUAAGAGAGGGAAACCCUCCUCAAAACGGACAGAGCAGUGGAGCAGCCAAGGGAAAGCACACGAAUAAAAACUGUAAGGCUAAAAUAUAAUUUAUUAUAUUUAAACAGUUAAAAAUUGUUAAGGUUCUGAUAUAUUGAGGAGGAAUUCAAAAUAACCACCACUGAUCCGGCCGUGUGCAAUUAGACGGCAUUUUAAUGAAUACACAUGUGUGAGCCAAUACUGUGUAGAUUCAGUAUUGAACUGUCGUACAAUAGUCAAAACAAAGGCUUUAUAGGGUUGGGGUGAUACUGCUCCCCCCCCCUUCUGUUGCCAAGCAGAUUCAAUACAGCAUACGUCAAUGCAAAACCACAAAUGUUCUGUCAACCCUUGACACAGUCCAGAGAACAUCGUCUUCGGCUCGGUGCUUCCCCUCAGCUCGUCUUCGCUGUCGCUUAUCUCUGGGACAUCUGGUGUACUUCCUGGAACAGACUAACACGUACGCACCCAAACUUUGCAGUUAUAGCCAAACACAAUUAAACUCUUACCUAUAUAAAUGAGUCUACCUAAUAUGUGUGUGCGUGCACGUGCGGGGAUAUAUCCCAGGGAGCUGGGAUAUAACAACAACACAUCAUCCAUGCUUCGGCACUACAGAGCUUUGCAUGAGAAUAAGGGGAACACCGAUUGUGGAGCAAGACCAGGAGAACAAUCUCAAAUAGAUGGAGACCUGGUUAGCAUGGUGAUUGAGGACUCCCAGCCAUUUAGCAUUGUGGAGGACAAAAGAUUUAAAAGAUUUGUUAAAUCAAUAAAUCCUAGCUAUGUUCUCCCCACUAAAAAGGUCAUAAAAGCAGUGAAACUUUAGUUUUUACAGAAUAAAAUGUGAAGAGGCAGUGUGUAGCUGUCCAUACCUCAACGUUACAAAAGCACAACCACUUUCCACACCCCAACCACACCUCACCUCACAGUAAAUGAUCAUUUCCAUUUUAAGCAUUUCCAAAUGAUCAUUUUCCAUACUGCCAGUAUAAAUAUACACAUUAUACUGCCAUCACUACAAUAUACAUGUUUUACACACUCCUUUUGUUGUUGACAUUUACAGGCUGUGUGCAAAAUGUCACACUCUUCAAAUUCAUGGCAACUAAUAUUUUCACGUCCACUAGAUGUCCUACUAGAGCAAAUGAAGCUUCACGAAGCUUUGCGCUGGGGUGAACCAAUUGGAUGAAAAGCUUCAGUGCUUCAUGAAGCUUCAUCUGCCCAUCACUACUCUUAACUCUGCCCGUCGCUUCUUUGUAACCGCCAAUCGGCACCGGCCCGCCUCGCCGCCUCUAAUUCCUCGCAGACGGAUAAUCUGGCCUCCUGUUGCUGCAGGAGUCGGACCGCUCGCUCCGCGUCCCUGGUCGCUAGCGCUGUAUCUUCCUCCCCUCCUUGACGCCAAGCUCCACCAGCCUUAUGUGUCUCUGUAAAUUACCAUUCGCUCCUUUCCUCUCAGGUGUGUUAAAUUAGUAAAACGGGAAAAGGGCGGAGUCUCUCCAGGACAAAUUGGCAGAUGCAACCAAAACAUGCAGUAUAAAUAAAACACUCCACAAGAUAUAACCAAAACAUGCAAUAUCAAAAAUAAAUAAACACACUUCACAUUAGAACACAGCAAAGCAAAACAACAUCCGUCCUUCCCUGGAUGACAUCUAAUUUAACACUUACAAUGUUAAAAUGCAGUAACGACUAAAAUCCACACCAACACUUUUCAGGAAUCGACUCCCGAUGUGUUAUUUUAACUGGAUUAAACGUUUCACUCGGAACUCAAUUCGACUAACACUGAAAAAUCAACACUGGCAUUUUUGCUGUGGG